Molecule: ribosomal RNA, 823 nt
Filed under: uncultured organism
Description: bacterial SSU rRNA
Rfam family: Bacterial small subunit ribosomal RNA
Source: RNAcentral
AGCAGCCGCGGUAAUACGUAGGGGGCAAGCGUUGUUCGGAAUCACUGGGCGUAAAGGGAGUGUAGGCGGAAGGGUAAGUUAAGAGUUUAAGGCCCCGGCUUAACUGGGUGCACGCUCUUAAUACUGCUUUUCUUGAGUAUGGGAGAGGGUGAUGGAAUUCCAGGUGUAGCGGUGGAAUGCGUAGAUAUCUGGAAGAACACCAGUAGCGAAGGCGGUCACCUGGCCCAAUACUGACGCUGAGGCUCGAAAGUCGGGGGAGCGAACAGGAUUAGAUACCCUGGUAGUCCCGACCGUAAACGAUGGAUACUAGUUGCUGGGAGAGUCAAUCCUUUCAGUGACGAAGCUAACGCAUUAAGUAUCCCGCCUGGGGAGUACGCUCGCAAGGGUGAAACUCAAAGGAAUUGACGGGGGCCCGCACAAGCGGUGGAGCAUGUGCUUUAAUUCGAUGCAACGCGAAGAACCUUACCUGGGUUUGACAUGGGGAUGAAACUCUUCAGAGAUGAGGAGCCUUCCUUCGGGAACAUCCCGCACAGGUGCUGCAUGGUUGUCGUCAGCUCGUGUCGUGAGAUGUUGGGUUAAGUCCCGCAACGAGCGCAACCCCUGCCCUUAGUUGCCAGCGAGUAAUGUCGGGAACUCUAAGGGGACCGCCUGGACCAACCAGGAGGAAGGUGGGGAUGACGUCAAAUCAUCAUGGCCCUUACGCCCAGGGCUAGACACGUGCUACAAUGGCCGGCACAGAGGGCUGCGAAACGGCGACGUGGAGCUAAUCCCUUAAAACCGGUCUCAGUUCGGAUUGGAGUCUGCAAUUCGACUCCAUGAAGGU